This 433-nucleotide unclassified non-coding RNA is filed under the name Paspalum redundans. RNAcentral's name for it is "partial external transcribed spacer". The record is from RNAcentral. Lineage: Eukaryota; Viridiplantae; Streptophyta; Magnoliopsida; Poales; Poaceae.
CGAGCGCAUGAGUUGUGCUGGACCUGUGACUACCGGGAGGACCCCCGCUGUUGUGCGGCCGACUGCCGGUGCCAGUGUCCCUUACAAUCGUUGGCNUAUUGUAUGCCUAUCGUUGGCACGAGUGCUUGCGUGCUGCUACCAGUAACACUGGAAGUUGCAUUGCUAAAUGUUGGUUUUGCCGUGCAUGCCCANAAAGCAUGUCACGUCAACUAUAAAGGGCUCAUGGCGUUGCCUCAUGUAGCUGGUCGUAUAGGCUAGCAGCAUCAAGGCCACCUCAUGGUCGCUAUUGGUCUCGGAUGUGGCUAACUUUGNAAGGCUGCAGGUGCUUUGGCACCCCAUGCCUACNNNAAAUAGUCCAUNUUGGAAACAACGACAGUUGGCCUAGCUAAAGCCUCGUGUGGAAGCUAGUGCUUGCUCGUCGAUGAGGACGUGC